GACGAACGCUGGCGGCGUGCCUAAUACAUGCAAGUAGAACGCACAGUUUAUACCGUAGCUUGCUACACCAUACACUGUGAGUUGCGAACGGGUGAGUAACGCGUAGGUAACCUGCCUGGUAGCGGGGGAUAACUAUUGGAAACGAUAGCUAAUACCGCAUAAUAUUAAUUAUUGCAUGAUAAUUGAUUGAAAGAUGCAAUUGCAUCACUACCAGAUGGACCUGCGUUGUAUUAGCUAGUAGGUGAGGUAACGGCUCACCUAGGCGACGAUACAUAGCCGGCCUGAGAGGGUGAUCGGCCAAACUGGGACUGAGACAAGGCCCAGACUCCUACGGGAGGCAGCAGUAGGGAAUCUUCGGCAAUGGACGAAAGUCUGAACGAGCAAAGCCGCGGGAGUGAAGAAGGGUUUCGGAUCGUAAAGCUCUGUUGUAAGAGAAGAAAGGGUGUGAGAGUGGAAAGUUCACACUGUGACGGUAUCUUACCAGAAAGGGACGGCUAACUACGUG
RNAcentral lists this ribosomal RNA (505 nucleotides) under uncultured bacterium. Its description in RNAcentral is "partial 16S ribosomal RNA". It matches the Rfam family "Bacterial small subunit ribosomal RNA", at positions 28 to 507 of the family's 1533-position model. The record is from RNAcentral.